This 521-nucleotide long non-coding RNA is filed under the name Zea mays. RNAcentral's name for it is "long non-coding RNA (ZMAY_LNC003030)". Lineage: Eukaryota; Viridiplantae; Streptophyta; Magnoliopsida; Poales; Poaceae. The record is from RNAcentral.
GAUGAAGACAUCCUCCACUAUUACCCGUUGGCAAAGACGCAAUUGGCCCAGUUGGCCCAAUUGUAGUCGGACGACGACCGUGUGAGCCUCAGAAUUAUCCCACCUCGCUUAACUUGGGAGGAGGAAGCCACUUUAAAAGGGGGAGCCACCCUUCCCCCAUUGGACUAGUCUUUUGGGGCGAUUGGGCCUUUCCCUGAGUUGGGUGUGCUUAAUGAACUGUUGGGCUCUGGGCAACCCUAAUUUGUUGGGCCUCGGCCAACCCCACCUGGGCUGGGUGUAUCAUCUGGUAUCAAAGCUAGGGUCCAUUUUAAGAAGGUGGGAAUGAUGAGGACAUCCUCCACUAUUACCCGUUGGCAAAGAUGCAAUUGGCCCAGUUGGCCCAAUUGUAGUCGGACGACGACCGUGUGAGCCUCAGAAUUAUCCCAUCUCACUUAAAUUGGGAGGAGGAAGCCACUUUAAAAGGGAGAGCCACCCUUCCCCCAUUGGACUAGUCUUUUGGGGCGAUUGGGCCUUUCCUUGAG